Long non-coding RNA from Stegostoma tigrinum, 326 nucleotides. RefSeq lists it as uncharacterized. NCBI's taxonomy places the organism in Eukaryota, Metazoa, Chordata, Chondrichthyes, Orectolobiformes, Stegostomatidae. The transcript is spliced from 2 exons. The record is from RefSeq and is a predicted model, not a curated record.
GCGUGGACGGGAAUCGUUGGAGGCGGGAAGAUGUCCAAUCAGAUCUGGCAACCCGCCUCUGGAUCUCCAUCACCAGAUUCUCACCGAGGGCAGUCCCAGGAAUGGAGGUAUGGGCAAUUAGGCCCAACAGAGAUGAAGGUGACACAAGCCGUGUCUUCACCUCCCCCCCAACGUUUAGUUUGGACUGGACUGGGAUCGAAUUGGACUCACCAACAUAAUCACUCCCCAGAUACUGAGGACAAUGCCACAAGCUGCCAGCUUCGGGCCACAGCACAGUAAAGAAGCCAUCUCCUAGUGCCCAGGUCCAGCCUCUUCCGGAAGAGAAA